This 359-nucleotide ribosomal RNA is filed under the name uncultured organism. RNAcentral describes it as "bacterial SSU rRNA". It matches the Rfam family "Bacterial small subunit ribosomal RNA", at positions 346 to 696 of the family's 1533-position model. The record is from RNAcentral.
GCGCAGCAGGCGAGAAUUUUCUCAAUGGGGGAAACCCUGAAGGAGCGACGCCGCGUGGAGGAUGAAGGUCUUCGGGUUGUAAACUCCUGUCAUUUGAGAACAAGGCACGCGUGGGUUAACUGGCACGAGUGUUGAUAGUAUCAGAAGAGGAAGGGACGGUUAACUCUGUGCCAGCAGCCGCGGUAAUACAGAGGUCCCAAGCGUUGUUCGGAUUCAUUGGGCGUAAAGGGUGUGUAGGUGGCGCCGUAAGUCGGGUGUGAAAUCUCGGGGCUUAACUCCGAAACUGCAUUCGAUACUGCGGUGCUUGAGGACUGGAGAGGAGACUGGAAUUCAUGGUGUAGCAGUGAAAUGCGUAGAGA